ACAAAAAAAGGAAUUAUUAUUCACCAUAAAAAAAAUCAGUAAUAUUUUUAAAAAUUACACAGCAAAUUCUAUUUUUCUUUUCUGUGGGAAAUAAAAGAUGAAAAGUCGUCGGUAUUCUUUCCAUUUUUAAUUUAAAAAAGUGCCUGCGGAUAUUUUACAUCAACAUACAUAGAAUCAUCACAGUUGGAGUAAAAAAAAUUAUUGAAUAUUAAACUUUCUAAUUCAAUUAAAUUAACAUUUGUUAAUUUCAGCUAUAUAAACAGCAAAAUUAAUGAUUUAUGGAUUCUUUGCGAAUACUAAAAUUCCCAAUAAUGAUUUUAAAAAAAUCCUCGAGACGAAAGAAGAAGUAAUUUGAAAAAAAAACUGAAGUACAUGAAGAAGGGGAUUGUAUCUGCAAAAUAAAAAAAAAAAGAAGAAUCGGGGGUGGUUAAUCUCAUACAAAGCAUCUCCCAUAUGAAUAUGUAAAGGCACACACUGUCUAUUCCGAAAUAUUUCGAACCUAUAUACACUACAUAUGUGGUCCAAGAGCUCAAGUGGAACAAGACCAUUUAUCCUAAACUUCUGCAGUUGAAAGGAAUGUCACAAUUGAAACAGAACGACAAUGCAGCAUCAAGCUUAUUGUUUUCAAGUAGCCUGCACACAAAGUAUAAAAAAAAUUAUUUUUUUUCUCCCAAAAAAAAAAAUGAAA
Leptopilina boulardi is the source of this 688-nucleotide long non-coding RNA. RefSeq lists it as uncharacterized. The transcript has 2 exons. The record is from RefSeq and is a predicted model, not a curated record. NCBI's taxonomy places the organism in Eukaryota, Metazoa, Arthropoda, Insecta, Hymenoptera, Figitidae.